This 497-nucleotide ribosomal RNA is filed under the name uncultured bacterium. RNAcentral's name for it is "partial 16S ribosomal RNA". It matches the Rfam family "Bacterial small subunit ribosomal RNA", at positions 28 to 507 of the family's 1533-position model. The record is from RNAcentral.
GAUGAACGCUGGCGGCGUGCCUAAUACAUGCAAGUCGAGCGAACGGACGAGAAGCUUGCUUUUCUGAUGUUAGCGGCGGACGGGUGUGUAACACGUGGAUAACCUACCUAUAAGACUGGGAUAACUUCGGGAAACCGGAGCUAAUACCGGAUAAUAUUUUGAACCGCAUGGUUCAAAAGUGAAAGGCGGUCUUGCUGUCACUUAUAGAUGGAUCCGCGCUGCAUUAGCUAGUUGGUAAGGUAACGGCUUACCAAGGCAACGAUGCAUAGCCGACCUGAGAGGGUGAUCGGCCACACUGGAACUGAGACACGGUCCAGACUCCUACGGGAGGCAGCAGUAGGGAAUCUUCCGCAAUGGGCGAAAGCCUGACGGAGCAACGCCGCGUGAGUGAUGAAGGUCUUCGGAUCGUAAAACUCUGUUAUUAGGGAAGAACAUAUGUGUAAGUAACUGUGCACAUCUUGACGGUACCUAAUCAGAAAGCCACGGCUAACUACGUG